RNAcentral lists this long non-coding RNA (2344 nucleotides) under Coturnix japonica (Japanese quail). Its description in RNAcentral is "lncRNA (ENSCJPG00005017185.1)". Lineage: Eukaryota; Metazoa; Chordata; Aves; Galliformes; Phasianidae. The record is from RNAcentral.
GCAGAAGAACAGAGGCAAUGAAGGUGUGACAAGACUAAGACUGAGAUGGAGAAAGACAGAACCAGAGUUUCGGGGCUCUUCAGGACACCACAUCCCCAUGACCCUGCAGAAGAAACUGGAAAAACACCACUUCAACCUGUGCUUGGAUACAAGAUACCGAUUACAUAAAGCAUGCAUGUUGAUGGCACGACAUCAGCGCAUUGACAGACAGUUUCUCCUAGACAACGUGCCUCCUGCACAUCAAACUGAUGACUGUCUUCUGGUCAAGAACACGUUCAGCUGGGAGUCUGACCAGUUGCAGCAUGUUACUGGCAGGAGGCACCGCUCGAGUGGGUUCCUGUGUCCAACUCACACCGCAGUGCCGGAGCACCGACCUGUACAUACUGCACGGCCACAACGCCCCUCUCCAUUCUUACUGUCAGAACUCUUCUGGUCUGCAGUUGUGUCUAUGUUCUGUAGCAAAUGACUUUCACCUCUGGCAUAGUUCUGCACGUCUGGGUCAAUAGACUGCGCUGCCUUGACAGACAAUGAGGGACCUUUGUCCUGGCUGUGGCAGCACAUGAGAUCUCAUUCAGGUGCUGCUUCCCACCCUCGGUGCCCCCACCAUGCUGUGUGCUGCUUGCUGUUGGGGGAACAUCUUGAGCCCUGCCAUAGGCCCUCAAAAGAGGAACUACAGACACAUAAUGAUGUCUCGUAGUGUGGAAGUGCAUCCUGCGUGCCAGGCAGCGUCAGCAAAGGCACUGUCCCCUUAUCUCUGUUAUGUAACCACAGUCAAAACGGAGGUGAGUUUGUGAACCUGAUGCGGCUGGCUGCAGUUACGGCACUUCUCCAGGACAUGGGCAGAAGCUGCUUGCUGGGAAGAAAAAAAAAAACCACUUAAGUUUACAACUGACUUAUACUUUAGGGUCUUCUUCCAACUCUGAAGCAGAAACACGGACAAAGAUUUAAAAGGCCAUGGGCUGUUUCAUGGCACAAAAGUGUGGGUCCUGCGGCAAACACCAUAGCCACAGGAUGGAGGAACACACAAGCCUCUUACACGAGCCUGCCGCAGAAGGGAAAGUUGCCCAAAGCUUGCUUCAGCAUGAAUGUGGCUUCUCUUCCAUGGCGUGUGCCACACCUCUUGGCAAGGUGGAGGUUUGAGAAGGAAAGAUUCCUUUCUCCUGAGGUAACAGGAGUACAACUGAAAGAAAAAAGGUGGCAGCAGGGAGAAUGCCGCGUCCGCAAAACAGAAUGCAGAGGAUGGGGUGGCAGCUUCUGUGGGGCCUGCUCGUCAUUUCCAGCUGUCUCCAGCCUCUGCCUCUCUGCCACGGUUCCUUUUGUUAAAUCAAUGAACCUUGCAUUAGCUGGGUGAGGAUAUUUUUGCUGUCUGCCACAUGGCUGUGGAUGCACCAUCUCGUUGCUGAGUGGCACGGGCAUCCAGACAUCCGGGCCUGCUGCUGUCCCCAGAGUGCUCUGAAACAGGCAUUCACUUUGGGUUAUGUAGCAAACCUGAUCUGGAGAGGUAGAAGUUGCACUGUUAAAAUAUGCUUGUGCUCAUAAAGCCGGUCUAUAAGACAGUACCAACUCUCAGUCAUGAGCUGUGCAGAUUACCAUGUUGUUAGCACAUUCUCUAGGAAAUAUAGAGGACGAGUACAGUCAUUCAUAGAAGGGACUGCUUUGCUGAUCUGCAUACUGACAGAGCCCUAGGGUCUUUUGCAUCCAGACUAACGCUAGAUCCAAUGCUGAAACACAGCGGUACUACCUGUGGACACACACGUGACACAUCGGCACUACAGACAUCUGCUCGGAGCUCACAGCUGUGCUGGGGGGGGGGGAUUGGAAGAGGCUCAAACAACAGCCCGCUCUGGGCAGCCACGGCACAGGGAGCGCACGUGCUGCUCUCGGAGCCCUUCUGGAGCUGAGACCCAGCCUUGGGGGUUUAUGCAGCAUUUCGUGUGGUGACUUUGGGAUGGGGAGAGGCUUUCCCGGCGCCGUGCGUGCCUUCCUGAUGCCAAAGCAGAGCGAGCGGUUCCCUGCGCGGCAGUCGGGUUGCCAGCAAGCAGAGCAGACGCCGUCCCGUGCCUGUGUUCCUCCCAUUCAUUUAUUCGGGGAGAGGCGGGCAGUGGUCUGCGCGCAGCCGGGAGAGACGAGCGAGGAUUGUGCCGGAGCGCGUACGAGGAGCGCAGCGGGAGCGAGUACCCAAACAUGCGUGGUGCAGCCCUGCCCGCCUCGUAGUGCGGCGACGGAAUGAGUCAGAGCCUCUUUGGUCUGAAUGAAGUGGAAGGUACUCUCUACAAAGCAACUCGAGCAUACGCCAAGGAUCCGGAAAAAUAAAACUAAUUCAGAAAACGGGAGUGGGAUGCGG